UACGAAGGGUGCAAGCGUUAAUCGGAAUUACUGGGCGUAAAGCGCGCGUAGGUGGUUCAGUAAGUUGGAAGUGAAAUUCCCGGGCUCAACCUGGGAACUGCUUUCAAAACUGCUGAGCUAGAGUACGGUAGAGGGUGGUGGAAUUUCCUGUGUAGCGGUGAAAUGCGUAGAUAUAGGAAGGAACACCAGUGGCGAAGGCGACCACCUGGACUGAUACUGACACUGAGGUGCGAAAGCGUGGGGAGCAAACAGG
This 253-nucleotide ribosomal RNA is filed under the name uncultured bacterium. RNAcentral's name for it is "partial 16S ribosomal RNA". It matches the Rfam family "Bacterial small subunit ribosomal RNA", at positions 524 to 776 of the family's 1533-position model. The record is from RNAcentral.